Molecule: non-coding RNA, 422 nt
Organism: Pelobates cultripes (western spadefoot toad)
Lineage: Eukaryota; Metazoa; Chordata; Amphibia; Anura; Pelobatidae
Source: the annotation of a GenBank genome assembly
GUGCCAUUUCCUGUGCUACUGUCCUGCCUGCUUGGCUGAGAUCAUCGAUAAACUCAGCCAAUCCAAUGCUUUCCUAUAGGAAGGUUUAUAUGAGACCAUAUGAUUAAACUAGCAGAUUUUUACUCUGCUAUAUUGGAAGAAGCACCUCUGGUGGCUGUCUGAGUGACAGCCAAUAGAAACAUUUUAUCCGUGCAGUGAAAACAUUUUUGUUUUGCACAAUGGCAGUGUUUCCACUUGCAGGGUUAAAUCUGGGAACACAUGGCACCCAGACCACUAUAUUGAGAUUAAGUGGUUAGGGUGCCUAUAGUGUAUAGUUGAGCAUAUUUGUUUUCAGAAAACAAAGAUUAUUCAAUAAAAAUGCAAAAAACCCCACUAAAUUGAAACUAGAAUCAGGAGAGUACCAGUGUCAAAUAACAGUUUAG